This 22-nucleotide microRNA is filed under the name Heligmosomoides polygyrus. RNAcentral's name for it is "hpo-miR-36b-3p". Its record names the gene hpo-miR-36b-3p. Lineage: Eukaryota; Metazoa; Nematoda; Chromadorea; Rhabditida; Heligmosomidae. The record is from miRBase by way of RNAcentral.
UCACCGGGAAUACAUUCAUCAA